RNAcentral lists this transfer RNA (76 nucleotides) under Candidatus Dadabacteria bacterium. RNAcentral describes it as "tRNA-Lys". It matches the Rfam family "tRNA". Rfam says of the family: Transfer RNA (tRNA) molecules are approximately 80 nucleotides in length. Their secondary structure includes four short double-helical elements and three loops (D, anti-codon, and T loops). The record is from RNAcentral. Lineage: Bacteria; Pseudomonadati; Thermodesulfobacteriota; Candidatus Dadabacteria.
CGGGCCGGUAGCUCAGCCUGGUAGAGCAGCUGACUCUUAAUCAGUCGGUCGUGGGUUCGAAUCCCUCGCAGCCCAA